GAUGAACGCUGGCGGCGUGCCUAAUACAUGCGAGUCGAGCGAACAGAUAAGGAGCUUGCUCCUUCGACGUUAGCAGCGGACGGGUGAGUAACACGUGGGUAACCUACCUAUAAGACUGGAAUAACUCCGGGAAACCGGGGCUAAUGCCGGAUAACAUUUAGAACCGCAUGGUUCUAAAGUGAAAGAUGGUUUUACUAUCACUUAUAGAUGGACCCGCGCCGUAUUAGCUAGUUGGUAAGGUAACGGCUUACCAAGGCAACGAUACGUAGCCGACCUGAGAGGGUGAUCGGCCACACUGGAACUGAGACACGGUCCAGACUCCUACGGGAGGCAGCAGUAGGGAAUCUUCCGCAAUGGGCGAAAGCCUGACGGAGCAACGCCGCGUGAGUGAUGAAGGUCUUCGGAUCGUAAAACUCUGUUAUUAGGGAAGAACAAAUGUGUAAGUAACUGUGCACGUCUUGACGGUACCUAAUCAGAAAGCCACGGCUAACUACGUG
Molecule: ribosomal RNA, 497 nt
Filed under: uncultured bacterium
Lineage: Bacteria
Description: partial 16S ribosomal RNA
Rfam family: Bacterial small subunit ribosomal RNA
Source: RNAcentral